This is a long non-coding RNA of Engraulis encrasicolus (European anchovy), 1429 nucleotides long. RefSeq lists it as uncharacterized. Lineage: Eukaryota; Metazoa; Chordata; Actinopteri; Clupeiformes; Engraulidae. The transcript is spliced from 3 exons. The record is from RefSeq and is a predicted model, not a curated record.
GCCCUACGGUGUACACCGCUUCCCCGGCCGUGCUGAGGAUGAAGACAUUCGCAAGAUGUGGAUUAAAAACGUACACCGAAAGGACUUUGCCCCCAAACAAGUAUUCAAGGGUGUUUGCGGAGUACACUUCCCUGACGGCAGACCAACGCAGGAACACCCAUAUCCCAUAAUAUGGGAUAUGAAUAUAGUAAAGCACCAUCAUGUGGAAGACCACCCCCAAAGAGAUGUCUCCAGCCCCCAACAGAGAGACUUGGAUUAAUGUUGAGAGGAUUAUUGUUCAAUACGGUGUAGAAACACUUGGUUCAGUUAUAUGUAUAUAUCUAUCAUCUUUCAAGAAAUCCUUCCCCUCAGCUGUGACCAUACUGAACAAGAGAUGAACUGUCCAGCUGCAGCAUGCAUGUAUUGUGUGGUCUUGUCUUUUUUUUUUUGGUCAAGCCUUGUCUAAUGUCUGUGAGAAUCACUGAAGCCACGCCAAAGACAAUUUUCUUUUUCAUGGGUGUAACAGACAAUUAAGUUUUAUCUAAUCUAAUCAUAUCAAUGAGAAUCAGUGCACCUGACAAAGGUAUGACAUACCGUAUACUGUAGGCUUAAAUGCUAAAGAAAAAUGAAUUAACCUGGCGGUUUUGAAUUGUUUAUUUACACAGUUAUUAAAAUGCAUACAGAUAGUGAAUUUAAUAUAGUUCAAUACUGUGUGCUUACUUGAUGGUGUUUUUUAUAUGUGCUGAACUGAAAAACAACCUAGCUACUUGUGCUCAAUAUCCAACUGCAGCAUUGUAGUUGCAGGUGGGGGGUGGUGGUUGUUCAAAUUUGACACACACCUUACAUUGGUCCACUUUACAAAUGGCCCCAUACACUAAAUGACUCUUGCUGGUGUGUUUUUUACUUGGCAACUUGUUAUUAAUCACUAAUGUUCUUAAUGUCAUUUCAAUGCAGCUCUUUGUGAGAAAUCUGGGCAGCCAUGGCCUAGUGCAGGGAUGUCAAACUCAGGCCCGGGGGCCAAAUCUGGCCCGCAGAGUCAUUUCAUUUGGCCCGUAAGAUCAUUUCAAAUGUGUAUUACAGUUGGCCCACAUACACCAUUAAUAUAUAGCAUAAGACCUGAACAUAAAAUGUAAUGUGUCAAAAAAAAUAUGAGUGGGCUGGGCAUAGGCCAGUAAAACAGCUCACACUACUGCAACAGAGUAUCUGCAGGCACAUUUGAACUACGAUGGGAAUCUGUUUGUGAAAUUUAAUUAUGAGAUUAAGUGUGUUUGCACAAUUUUAGGCCGUUGUAAAUAUUGAGUUUGGCCCGCGACUUUGUUCCAGAUUUGUAUUUUGGCCCUCUGUGAGUUUGAGUUUGACACCCCUGGCCUAGUGGUUAGAGAGUUGGUCUUUCAAUCUAGGGGUUGCUGGUUCGAAUCCCCCACGACCUCUCCCUACACCUCCAUCCAUG